Molecule: unclassified non-coding RNA, 113 nt
Filed under: uncultured Ascomycota
Lineage: Eukaryota; Fungi; Ascomycota
Description: sequence contains ITS2
Source: RNAcentral
AACGCACAUUGCGCCCCUUGGUAUUCCAUGGGGCAUGCCUGUUCUAGCGUCAUUUAAACCCCCAACUUCUGAAUGUUGACCUCGGAUCAGGUAGGAAUACCCGCUGAACUUAA